Spinacia oleracea (spinach) is the source of this 1070-nucleotide long non-coding RNA. RefSeq lists it as uncharacterized. The record is from RefSeq and is a predicted model, not a curated record. The transcript has 4 exons. Lineage: Eukaryota; Viridiplantae; Streptophyta; Magnoliopsida; Caryophyllales; Amaranthaceae.
AUGUAUUUUAUGUGAGAGUAGAGUUGUUGUGCCAUGAGUUUUUAUGGUAAUAGAGCAAUCUUUUAGGGACGACCUAAUAUGGCACAUGAGGCAAACAAAUAGGGACAUUGGGAGUACAUACGAAGUACAAGUAUUAAAUCUAUUUGGACUGGUGAAAGUCAAAACAGCCAUCUUGUUUUGGAUACAUACAGAUAUGCAAUCAAAUUAUUUACAAGUUUUGAUACUAUACUCAAAUUGGCAGCUGGUUUGAAUAUUGUAAACUUUGUAAUUGGCUCGGAAUUAGAUUCGGGGUUGUGGAGCUAUGUGUUGGAAUCUGACCUCUAGCAUAAAUUUCAUUACUAUAUUUUUCUUUUCAUAGUAGUUCAAGUUGACAAGAACCAAGUGAAAACAAAUUAACAUACAAGUCCUAUACAAAUGAAUAAGCAGCAGCAGAGCAGAUUUUUUAAAAUUUGGCUUGCCACUUUACAAAGCAGCUCUGGAAGGCAACUGGCCUGCUGCGGAACACAUUCUGCAGCAAUCUCUGGAUUGGAUCCGACACCCAAUAGCGAAAGGAGGAGAAAGGGUUCUUCAUAUUGCAGCAACAGCAAAGUGCACCCAUUUUGUAAAAGAGCUGGUGAAGCUCAUGAUCAAAGGUAUUGUUAGAAUAUGCCUUGAAUCGGUCCACCAUCGCUACGGCCUUUGGAUUUUGGUUUAACAGAAGUAAGAAAGGGAACGAAACCGGAGAAGCUGCGAGCUCUUGAUUCGUCUUCGUGCAAGGUUUGGUCAUUAGUGAGGAGAUUCGAUCAACCUCAGAAGUAUAAGCCAUUUGUUAGCCGAUGUGUGGUGCAGGGAAAUCUUGAGAUUGGAAGUGUAAGAGAGGUUGAUGUGAAAUUCGGGCUUCCAGCGACUACGAGCACUGAGAGGUUGGAGGUUCAGGAUGACAAUGAGCAUAUUCUCAAUAUCUAGAUUAUUGGUGGAGAUCAUAGGCUAAGGGUAUGGUGCUUCCUGUCUAUGAGUUAUAUUGCUUUUAUAGGUAUUUUUGUGUCUGCCUGUUUUCGGGGAGGAGGAAGGGUAGGGAGUGGGUGACAGUG